This 643-nucleotide ribosomal RNA is filed under the name Sarcodon sp. 1 RG-2012. Its description in RNAcentral is "eukaryotic LSU rRNA". The stretch from base 253 to 406 matches the Rfam family "5.8S ribosomal RNA". Lineage: Eukaryota; Fungi; Basidiomycota; Agaricomycetes; Thelephorales; Thelephoraceae. The record is from RNAcentral.
AAGGAUCAUUACAGAAAUAUGAACGUUUGUGGUCGUGUUUGGGUUGUUGCUGGCCUCAUCCGUGAGGUAUGUGCACGCCUUGGGACCCAGGCGUUCAAGUCCUUUCUUUCACACCCUGUGAACCAUCUGUAGCUAGGGAUGAUUACGGAGCCUUUCGGUUUCGAAUGCCCUGGCUAUGAAGUUUUCUAUGCACGCUUUGUAGAGUUUAUUGGAACGUUUAUAAUCGCGUCUUUGAUGGCGUGAAUGAAAUACAACUUUCAGCAACGGAUCUCUUGGCUCUCGCAUCGAUGAAGAACGCAGCGAAAUGCGAUAAGUAAUGUGAAUUGCAGAAUUCAGUGAAUCAUCGAAUCUUUGAACGCACCUUGCGCUCCUUGGUAUUCCGAGGAGCAUGCCUGUUUGAGUGUCAUGAAGUUCUCAACUGCCCUUKUUUAUUGAGGGGUGAAGUUGGAUUUUGGAGUGUUUUGCCUGGCUUUUGUUUCCGGCUGCUCCUAAAAGCAUUCCGAGCCUUUGAAUCUUGGUGUUAAGUAUCCUUGACGUGAUAACCAUCUACGUCGCGGGGAAAGCCUUGAGAAAGAUGCUCGUAAAAAGACAUUUGUUUGACCAUUUUGACCUCAAAUCAGGCAGGACUACCCGCUGAACUUAA